This 353-nucleotide ribosomal RNA is filed under the name uncultured bacterium. Its description in RNAcentral is "bacterial SSU rRNA". It matches the Rfam family "Bacterial small subunit ribosomal RNA", at positions 8 to 350 of the family's 1533-position model. The record is from RNAcentral.
AGAGUUUGAUCAUGGCUCAGGAUGAACGCUAGCUACAGGCUUAACACAUGCAAGUCGAGGGGAAGCGACAUCGAAAGCUUGCUUUUGAUGGGCGUCGACCGGCGCACGGGUGAGUAACGCGUAUCCAACCUGCCCACCACUUGGGGAUAACCUUGCGAAAGUAAGACUAAUACCCAAUGACGUCUCUAGAAGACAUCUGAAGGAGAUUAAAGAUUUAUCGGUGAUGGAUGGGGAUGCGUCUGAUUAGCUUGUUGGCGGGGUAACGGCCACCAAGGCGACGAUCAGUAGGGGUUCUGAGAGGAAGGUCCCCCANAUUGGAACUGAGACACGGUCCAAAACUCCUACGGGAGGCA